AUGGUUUCGUCAAUGAAGCAGUACAGAGAUGAGGCCGAUGCACCAUCGUCCCUCUCCCUCUCGCUCUCCCUCGGCGCCGUGGCCGACCGCAGCAGCAAGAAGAUACGCCGCGGCGGCGCGGACGGCGAGUUCGUGUGCAAGACGUGCGGCCGCUCGUUCCCGUCGUUCCAGGCGCUGGGCGGGCACCGGACAAGCCACCUCCGUGGCCGCCACGGCCUCGCGCUCGGCCUCACUUCCGGGCCGGGGACCAAGAAGACCACGGACGAGAAGCGGGCGCACCAGUGCCACGUCUGCGGGCUGGAGUUCGAGAUGGGGCAGGCGCUCGGUGGCCACAUGCGCCGGCACCGCGAGCAGGAGUCUGCCACCACGGCGCAGGCGCCGCCCGUUCUGCUCCAGCUCUUCGUCUAG
This 408-nucleotide ribosomal RNA is filed under the name Triticum aestivum (bread wheat). RNAcentral describes it as "partial small subunit ribosomal RNA". The record is from RNAcentral. Lineage: Eukaryota; Viridiplantae; Streptophyta; Magnoliopsida; Poales; Poaceae.